Molecule: ribosomal RNA, 449 nt
Filed under: uncultured bacterium
Lineage: Bacteria
Description: partial 16S ribosomal RNA
Rfam family: Bacterial small subunit ribosomal RNA
Source: RNAcentral
GACGAACGCUGGCGGCAUGCCUAACACAUGCAAGUCGAACGAGAUCUUCGGAUCUAGUGGCGCACGGGUGCGUAACACGUGGGAAUCUGCCCUUUGGUUCGGAAUAACUCAGGGAAACUUGAGCUAAUACCGGAUGAUGACGUAAGUCCAAAGAUUUAUCGCCAAAGGAUGAGCCCGCGUAGGAUUAGCUAGUUGGUGAGGUGAAGGCUCACCAAGGCUACGAUCCUUAGCUGGUCUGAGAGGAUGAUCAGCCACACUGGGACUGAGACACGGCCCAGACUCCUACGGGAGGCAGCAGUGGGGAAUAUUGGACAAUGGGGGAAACCCUGAUCCAGCAAUGCCGCGUGAGCGAUGAAGGCCUUAGGGUUGUAAAGCUCUUUUACCCGGGAUGAUAAUGACAGUACCGGGAGAAUAAGCCCCGGCUAACUCCGUGCCAGCAGCCGCGGUAA